GUGGUAUCUGGCUCUCGAGAUUCGGAGAACGAUGCUUCUUCGAUUUUUGAGAAAGCAAUCAUGCUAGGGGUCUGGCUCUCGAGAUUCGGGGAGCAGUGUCUCUUCGAUUUUUGAGAAAGUAAUCAUGUUGGGAGUCUGGCUCUCGAGAUUCGGAGGGCGGUGCCUCUUCGAUUUUGGAGUAAGCAAUCUUGUUGGGAGUGUUUUCUCGGAUGUGAGUAAAGGUUGGGCAUGUUUGCUAGUCUACCUUGCCACGAAGCACGGAGGUUGACACACAGGGACUUUCCAAUUAUCCAGCAGUGGUACUGUUCCUUUACCCUUGUGGGUAAUAAUAUGGUAGCUAGACCUUCAAAAUUUAUGUGUCUAAACUUUGUUAGUGCUGUUUCUUUGUUAUUCUUUUACCUUUCUUGGUCAGAGCGAUGUAGUGGGAGCUGCAAGCUUCACGUGCUCAACUUUGGCAGAGACUUUGGCAAAGUUAUCUGUGGUACCCAUGAGCUAUUGUUGCGUGUGGGAAGUGGGUGAUUGAAUAGUAAGAUUCAUGUGCUUUCUACUUCACCAGAAGUCUUCGACAGAAUGCCCAUAAUUUCCGCAAAGCUGAGUGUGCGUGUGACAGGUGCUGACAAGGCUAGAAAAGUAGGUGCCUCUUCGAUUUCUGAGAUCGGCCCUCGUGGUCUCUGAGCAGCCCAGCUUUUGAGAAAGCGAGCGCCUCUUCGAUUGAUUCGGAGAACGAUGCCUCUUCGAUUUUUGAGAAAGCAAUCAUGCUGGGGGUCUGGCUCUCGAGAUUCGGGGAGCAGUGUCUCUUCGAUUUUUGAGAAAGUAAUCAUGUUGGGAGUCUGGCUCUCGAGAUUCGGAGGGCGGUGCCUCUUCGAUUUUGGAGCAAGCAAUCUUGUUGGGUGUGUUUUCUCGAAUGUGAGUAAAAGUUGGGCAUGUUUGCUAGUCUACCUUGCCACGAAGCACAGAGGUUGACACACAGGGACUUUCCAAUUAUCCAGCAAUGGUACUGUUCCUUUACCCUCUCUUCGAUUUUUGAGAAAGUAGUCAUGUUGGGAGUCUUGCUC
RNAcentral lists this long non-coding RNA (1055 nucleotides) under Malus domestica (apple). RNAcentral describes it as "long non-coding RNA (MDOM_LNC017745)". Lineage: Eukaryota; Viridiplantae; Streptophyta; Magnoliopsida; Rosales; Rosaceae. The record is from RNAcentral.